RNA transcript from Raphanus sativus (radish), 1678 nucleotides. It is a transcript of the gene named two-component response regulator ARR5-like, with no coding region annotated. Lineage: Eukaryota; Viridiplantae; Streptophyta; Magnoliopsida; Brassicales; Brassicaceae. The transcript is spliced from 6 exons. The record is from RefSeq and is a predicted model, not a curated record.
UAAGAAAAAAUACGAAAAUGAUGGGAAAUGUACAAAUACAAAUAAAAUUUCAACGAUUUUGAAUAAUCAUCGAGAGAUUGUCAAGAUACGAUUUCCAGUUUGAUCUUCUUUUUUUUCUUCCACUCAGCUCUAUUUGACUCUUCUUCAAGGAAAAUAAUAUAAAAUCUCCACCACUUUGAUUUUUUUCCUCAAAAAACUUUACUAUUUAUAUCUGAAUUUGCCAAGUUUGAAUAUUAUGACUUUUUGAAAACAGAAUAAACAAAUAAUAUUCAUACGCCAUGGACAGGCAAAAUCCCACAGAUAUGCAAAGAUCUCUCAGAAUCUCUCCUUCCCUCUCACUCUUCCUUAUAAAUCCCUAUUCUUUCAUUGCCUUUGCAAAAUCAAAUCUCUCACUUAGUACUUUCUUGUCAGAUCAUAAGCAGAUUCUUUGAUUGAUAUGGCGGAGGUUAUGCGUCCAGAAAAGUUGGACAUGUCCAACGAAACUUCUUCCUUAGGAUCACCUGAGCUUCUUCAUGUUCUUGCCGUAGAUGAUAGCAUCGUUGAUAGGAAAUUCAUUGAGCGGUUGCUCAGAGUGUCGUCUUGUAAAGUUACUGUUGUCGAUAGCCCGACAAGAGCUUUGCAAUACCUUGGAUUAGAUGGAAACCAUAGUUCUGUUGGAUUUAAGGAUCUGAAGAUUAAUAUGAUAAUGACGGAUUACUCUAUGCCUGGCAUGACUGGAUAUGAACUAAUGAAAAAGAUUAAAGAAUCAGCAGCUUUCAGAGAAAUACCCGUUGUGAUUAUGUCGUCAGAGAAUAUAUUGCCACGUAUUGAUAGAUGUCUUGAAGAAGGUGCUGAAGAUUUCUUAUUGAAGCCUGUGAAACUUGCUGAUGUGAAGAGAUUAAGAGACUCGUUAAUGAAAGCCGACGAAAGAGCUUGCAAGAAUAUUAUGCACAAAAGAGAGCUACAAGCUAAUGAUAUCUACUCACAGCUAAAACGCGUAAAUAUCUGAGUCAUAUUGUUUUUCAUAUUCCUUGAUAUGAUCUUAAAAGCUUAACGAUUCACACACAUAAGCAUGUCAUGCUUCUUUCGGCUUACAAUUUUUGAGAACUCAACAGCCUCUUUUGCCGAUGGAAUCAGUGACAACGGAGGAGAGGGAAAACGAAGGAUUUUUAUGAGGUCCCUAUAUAAUGAUUUCUUUGAAAUCCCUAUAUUGAGUUAAAUUAUUGUUUUUACCGGCCAUUAGGUCGGUAUCAGAACAAAAACAACUAUCAUGCCGCGCACAUGUAAAGAGACGCAAGCCAAAACCCAGCAAAGAACCCUAGAACAGAUGCAAGAGCAGAUCACUCAGCUCACCCAAGCUAUGCAAGCCUUGGUCACUCAGCGCAACACUGCUCCAUUGUUUGAUCCUUGUAUGUUUUGACUAAAAAAAAGUUGUAGUACCUUUUGAUGUUUCCCUUUUUCUUGGCAGAGCACAAGGAACAGACAAUGCCUCAUUGCUGGAUUUUGGUGGUCGAAUAAUUGAGUUCCUAAGUACUUUAUUUUUUACGUAUUAAGAAUAGUAAUAUGCUAUUCAGUUAGCUAUUCAUCUAGAGUCAUGAGAAAGAAGAGACGCAAAUCUUAUGUUAGAGACGCAACUCUUUGUCUUAUUUUUUGUACUGUUUCGACUCUAUUUAAAUCUAUUUAAAGUAUUUUCAUUGUC